RNAcentral lists this unclassified non-coding RNA (311 nucleotides) under Hevea brasiliensis (rubber tree). The record is from RNAcentral. Lineage: Eukaryota; Viridiplantae; Streptophyta; Magnoliopsida; Malpighiales; Euphorbiaceae.
UCUCUCGUGACCUCCCUCUUCCUCCUGACCUCUUCAACACCGUCUACUCCAUCUAUUCCAAUACCCAAAAUGCCGAGAAUGGUAUUCUUGACGGCGCGGUUCACGAUGAGAUCGAAUUGCGGGAUGACGCUGCGGAUCCUGCGGGCGGAGAUUUGAUUACUGACCUUGAGGAUGCACUAUCAAAGCAACGGCCUAAUUGCAUGUCAGGUUUUGUACUGGGGGAAUCAAGGGAAAAACGAUAUCAAGGCCAUAUUCUCCAUCGGUUACAUGAACUUGAAGAACUGCCUUCAACCAGAGGGGAGGACCUGCAU